UUGAUUUUAAUUAUUUGUGAACGGUACUACUAACUAACAACAAAUUAUUAUAAGUCAAAACAAAAAUUAAAUCA
This 74-nucleotide unclassified non-coding RNA is filed under the name soil metagenome. Its description in RNAcentral is "partial internal transcribed spacer 1". The record is from RNAcentral.